GAUGAACGCUAGCUACAGGCUUAACACAUGCAAGUCGAGGGGCAUCAGGAAGAAAGCUUGCUUUCUUUGCUGGCGACCGGCGCACGGGUGAGUAACACGUAUCCAACCUGCCCUUUACUCGGGGAUAGCCUUUCGAAAGAAAGAUUAAUACCCGAUGGCAUAAUGAUUCCGCAUGGUUUCAUUAUUAAAGGAUUCCGGUAAAGGAUGGGGAUGCGUUCCAUUAGGUUGUUGGUGAGGUAACGGCUCACCAAGCCUUCGAUGGAUAGGGGUUCUGAGAGGAAGGUCCCCCACAUUGGAACUGAGACACGGUCCAAACUCCUACGGGAGGCAGCAGUGAGGAAUAUUGGUCAAUGGGCGCUAGCCUGAACCAGCCAAGUAGCGUGAAGGAUGAAGGCUCUAUGGGUCGUAAACUUCUUUUAUAUAAGAAUAAAGUGCAGUAUGUAUACUGUUUUGUAUGUAUUAUAUGAAUAAGGAUCGGCUAACUCCGUGCCAGCAGCCGCGGUAAUACGGAGGAUCCGAGCGUUAUCCGGAUUUAUUGGGUUUAAAGGGAGCGUAGGUGGACUGGUAAGUCAGUUGUGAAAGUUUGCGGCUCAACCGUAAAAUUGCAGUUGAUACUGUCAGUCUUGAGUACAGUAGAGGUGGGCGGAAUUCGUGGUGUAGCGGUGAAAUGCUUAGAUAUCACGAAGAACUCCGAUUGCGAAGGCAGCUCACUGGACUGCAACUGACACUGAUGCUCGAAAGUGUGGGUAUCAAACAGGAUUAGAUACCCUGGUAGUCCACACAGUAAACGAUGAAUACUCGCUGUUUGCGAUAUACAGUAAGCGGCCAAGCGAAAGCAUUAAGUAUUCCACCUGGGGAGUACGCCGGCAACGGUGAAACUCAAAGGAAUUGACGGGGGCCCGCACAAGCGGAGGAACAUGUGGUUUAAUUCGAUGAUACGCGAGGAACCUUACCCGGGCUUAAAUUGCAGUGGAAUGAUGUGGAAACAUGUCAGUGAGCAAUCACCGCUGUGAAGGUGCUGCAUGGUUGUCGUCAGCUCGUGCCGUGAGGUGUCGGCUUAAGUGCCAUAACGAGCGCAACCCUUAUCUUUAGUUACUAACAGGUUAUGCUGAGGACUCUAGAGAGACUGCCGUCGUAAGAUGUGAGGAAGGUGGGGAUGACGUCAAAUCAGCACGGCCCUUACGUCCGGGGCUACACACGUGUUACAAUGGGGGGUACAGAAGGCAGCUAGCGGGUGACCGUAUGCUAAUCCCAAAAGCCUCUCUCAGUUCGGAUCGAAGUCUGCAACCCGACUUCGUGAAGCUGGAUUCGCUAGUAAUCGCGCAUCAGCCACGGCGCGGUGAAUACGUUCCCGGGCCUUGUACACACCGCCCGUCAAGCCAUUGGAGCCGGGGGUACCUGAAGUACGUAACCGCAAGGAUCGUCCUAGGGUA
RNAcentral lists this ribosomal RNA (1433 nucleotides) under uncultured organism. RNAcentral's name for it is "16S ribosomal RNA". It matches the Rfam family "Bacterial small subunit ribosomal RNA". The record is from RNAcentral.